This 807-nucleotide ribosomal RNA is filed under the name uncultured bacterium. Its description in RNAcentral is "bacterial SSU rRNA". It matches the Rfam family "Bacterial small subunit ribosomal RNA", at positions 116 to 927 of the family's 1533-position model. The record is from RNAcentral.
CGUAUGCAAUCUACCUUUUACAGAGGGAUAGCCCAGAGAAAUUUGGAUUAAUACCUCAUAGUAUUAUUGAAUGGCAUCAUUUAAUAAUUAAAGUCACAACGGUAAAAGAUGAGCAUGCGUCCCAUUAGCUUGUUGGUAAGGUAACGGCUUACCAAGGCGACGAUGGGUAGGGGUCCUGAGAGGGAGAUCCCCCACACUGGUACUGAGACACGGACCAGACUCCUACGGGAGGCAGCAGUGAGGAAUAUUGGUCAAUGGGCGCAAGCCUGAACCAGCCAUGCCGCGUGCAGGAUGAAGCAUCUAUGGUGUGUAAACUGCUUUUGUACGAGAAGAAACACUCCUACGUGUAGGAGCUUGACGGUAUCGUAAGAAUAAGGACCGGCUAACUCCGUGCCAGCAGCCGCGGUAAUACGGAGGGUCCAAGCGUUAUCCGGAAUCAUUGGGUUUAAAGGGUCCGUAGGCGGUUUUGUAAGUCAGUGGUGAAAGCCCAUCGCUCAACGGUGGAACGGCCAUUGAUACUGCAAGACUUGAAUUAUUGGGAAGUAACUAGAAUAUGUAGUGUAGCGGUGAAAUGCUUAGAGAUUACAUGGAAUACCAAUUGCGAAGGCAGGUUACUACCAAUAUAUUGACGCUGAUGGACGAAAGCGUGGGGAGCGAACAGGAUUAGAUACCCUGGUAGUCCACGCCGUANACGAUGGAUACUAGCUGUUCGGAGCAAUCUGAGUGGCUAAGCGAAAGUGAUAAGUAUCCCACCUGGGGAGUACGUUCGCAAGAAUGAAACUCAAGGAAUUGACGGGGGCCCGCACA